Molecule: unclassified non-coding RNA, 1625 nt
Filed under: Hevea brasiliensis (rubber tree)
Lineage: Eukaryota; Viridiplantae; Streptophyta; Magnoliopsida; Malpighiales; Euphorbiaceae
Source: RNAcentral
CCCAAAGGACCAAACCCAACAAGCAAUUGAAAUUUGGUUUCACCACAGAGAGUUAAGAGAGAGCAGAGAAACAUGGGUUCCGAAGGAGGGGAUAACGGCAUGUUCAGUGUCACUGUGACCAAGAAGGAAGUGGUGGCGGCAGCGCUACCAUUGCAAGAACAUUGGCUACCACUUUCCAACCUAGAUUUGCUUCUCCCUCCAGUUGACGUGAGUGUUUUCUUUUGUUACAGAAACAAUAAUAACCAUAUGAUGAAGAGUUUCGGGUCCAUGGUGGGUGUUCUGAAGAAAGCAAUGGCUCAAGUUCUGGUGUCCUACUACGCCUUCGCGGGUGAGGUAGUGGAAAACUUCGUGGGAGAGCCUGAGAUCCUAUGCAACAACAGGGGUGUGGACUUUUUUGAGGCUUUUGCAGAUAUUGAUCUCAAAGACCUCAACUUGUAUAACCCCGACCACUGCAUUGAAGGCAAACUGGUGCCCAAGAAGAAGGACGGUGUGCUGGCUGCCCAGGUAACGGAACUCAAAUGCGGCGGUGUCGUGGUGGCGUGCACAUUUGAUCAUCGCGUAUCAGACGCCUACUCGGCCAACAUGUUUCUUGUGUCGUGGUCAGAAACGACUCAAUCCAGAGCGAUCUCAGUGGUUCCAUCUUUCAGGCGAUCUCUGCUGAACCCUAGACGUCCUACUUGCAUCGAUCCUUCCCUGGACAACAUGUACGUACCCAUCUCCAAGCUGCAACCUCCCAAAGAGCCUCAGGCCGAUUCUGAUCACGUCAUAAGUCGAAUAUAUUAUGUGAAAGCCGAUCAGCUUAACGAAUUACAAUCACUUGCAAGCUCCGCUGGCUACAAGAGGACAAAACUCGAAUCUUUUAGCGCUUUCUUGUGGCAACUGGUUGCCAAAUCUGCCAAACAAGAUGUUGCCGCUGGAACGGCAAAGAUUUCAAAAAUUGGCAUUGUGGUGGAUGGGAGGACGAGGUUAAGUGAUAAAAUUGUUAAUAAAGCAACAUUAAUGGAUGCCUACUUUGGAAAUGUACUAUCAAUUCCCUAUGGAGGAAAGAGAAUUGAUGAUCUAAUCGAAAAUCCAUUGAGUUGGGUAGCGAGUGAGGUCCAUGAUUUCCUGGAGAGUGGUGUGACAAAGGAGCAUUUCUUGGGGCUGAUUGACUGGGUUGAGGCUCAUAAGCCAGAGCCAGCCGUGGCUAAGAUAUACAGUAGCGGUAGUGAUGGUGGACCGGCUUUUGUGGUGUCUUCAGGGCAAAGAUUUCCGGUUUCAAAGGUGGACUUUGGGUGGGGAGCGCCUGCCUUUGGGUCGUAUCAUUUUCCUUGAGGCGGUAGCGCUGGAUAUGUCAUGCCGAUGCCAAGUCCAACCAGGAACGAUGAUUGGAUAGUGUAUAUGCACCUUUUGAAGGGGCAAAUGGAGUUGAUAGAGGCUGAGGCUGCCAAUUUUUUUAGGCCCCUCUGUUGGGAUUAUCUUAAUCUGCUUUCAUCACAUUCUAUAGUUACCCCAUAUACCAUAUAAUUUAUUUGCUCCUUAUUAAUUGAAAUUAAGAAUUAAUGCUUUGCAUUGGAUGUUGCUGUUAAUUGUAAUUACAGUUUGAUCUGCAGUUAUAUUAAUUAUCUUGCCCAUCAGUUGCUGGC